Molecule: ribosomal RNA, 140 nt
Filed under: uncultured bacterium
Lineage: Bacteria
Description: partial 16S ribosomal RNA
Rfam family: Bacterial small subunit ribosomal RNA
Source: RNAcentral
UGGGGAAUAUUGGGCAAUGGGCGAAAGCCUUACCCAGCAACGCCGCGUGAGGGAAGAAGGUUUUCGGAUUGUAAACCUCUGUCCUGGGGGACGAAGGAAGUGACGGUACCCCGGGAGGAAGCCCCGGCUAACUACGUGCC